Molecule: long non-coding RNA, 201 nt
Filed under: Brachypodium distachyon (stiff brome)
Lineage: Eukaryota; Viridiplantae; Streptophyta; Magnoliopsida; Poales; Poaceae
Description: long non-coding RNA (BDIS_LNC004385)
Source: RNAcentral
AAGCUUGUUGUCCCUCCUUGAUAGCACAACAAACUUAAGCAGCCUAAGCACUUUGCCUUUUCGACAACUUCAUCUGGUCUCCUUUUUGAUACAGCUUUGACCAAUUUAAAGUACUUCCAACACUCUGCACGCUUCACUCUAGUUUUCUUCUUCGCAACUACAGCAACCCCACUCUUCUUCUUUCUCUUCCCAGCAGCAACC